RNAcentral lists this transfer RNA (64 nucleotides) under Dorcus hansi. RNAcentral's name for it is "tRNA-Leu". Lineage: Eukaryota; Metazoa; Arthropoda; Insecta; Coleoptera; Lucanidae. The record is from RNAcentral.
AUUGCUUUGGCAGAGAAGUGCACUAAAUUUAGAAUUUAUUAAUGUAUAUGGAGUACAGGCAAUA